RNAcentral lists this ribosomal RNA (729 nucleotides) under Eophila gestroi. RNAcentral describes it as "partial large subunit ribosomal RNA". The stretch from base 384 to 729 matches the Rfam family "Eukaryotic large subunit ribosomal RNA", at positions 665 to 978 of the family's 3401-position model. Lineage: Eukaryota; Metazoa; Annelida; Clitellata; Crassiclitellata; Lumbricidae. The record is from RNAcentral.
CGGAUUCAGUCCGCCUGCGCGGCGUCGGCGCCGGUCGCGCAUCCCUCGUGGGAGCGCGCCGGCGUCCGNAUCGACGUGCGGCGGCCGUACUUUCGGCGGGCGGAGCGCCACGACCGGUUCGCCGGCGGCGAGAAACUCCCGGGCAAGGUGACCUUCGCCUCGGCGCAGGAGCAUACAGGCCCGGUGAGCGUCGGCCCGUCGGCGGACCGAGGAAGACCGUCGCGGAGCGGCGUCGACCGCCCGUCGUGUGGACGCGUUCGACUCGGGGGGACUGGUUCCAGUGCCCUCGGACCGCGCGAUCGCAGCGGCGGGACGGCCCGGCGUCGCGCCUGGGGUCGGUGGCGAAACGGCCGGCAACCUGUCCGACCCGUCUUGAAACACGGACCAAGGAGUCUAACAUGUGCGCGAGUCGUUGGGCGCUACGAAACCCGAAGGCGCAAUGAAAGUGAAGGCCCGGUCUCGUGCCGGCCUGGGUGGGAUCCGGGCGGCCUCGGCCGUCCGGCGCACCACCGGCCCGUCUCGUUCGCCGCGUCGAAGAGGCGGAGCAAGAGCGUACACGUUGGGACCCGAAAGAUGGUGAACUAUGCCCGAGUAGGACGAAGCCAGAGGAAACUCUGGUGGAGGUCCGCAGCGAUUCUGACGUGCAAAUCGAUCGUCAAACUUGGGUAUAGGGGGGAAAGAUGAAUCGGACCAUCUAGAGGCCCUUUUCAACUCCAUUUCCGCUCCUAA